RNAcentral lists this ribosomal RNA (495 nucleotides) under uncultured bacterium. RNAcentral's name for it is "SSU rRNA". It matches the Rfam family "Bacterial small subunit ribosomal RNA", at positions 26 to 521 of the family's 1533-position model. The record is from RNAcentral.
AGGACGAACGCUGGCGGCGUGCUUAACACAUGCAAGUCGAACGGAAAGGCCCUUUCGGGGGUACUCGAGUGGCGAACGGGUGAGUAACACGUGGGUGAUCUGCCCUGCACUUCGGGAUAAGCCUGGGAAACUGGGUCUAAUACCGGAUAGGACUACGGGAUGCAUGUCCUGUGGUGGAAAGCUUUUGCGGUGUGGGAUGGGCCCGCGGCCUAUCAGCUUGUUGGUGGGGUGAUGGCCUACCAAGGCGACGACGGGUAGCCGGCCUGAGAGGGUGUCCGGCCACACUGGGACUGAGAUACGGCCCAGACUCCUACGGGAGGCAGCAGUGGGGAAUAUUGGUCAAUGGACGAGAGUCUGAACCAGCCAUGCCGCGUGAAGGAUGAAGGCGUUCUGCGUUGUAAACUUCUUUUGCGGGGGUAAGAACCUUGAUAUUCUUAUCAAGCCGACGGUACCCCGAGAAUAAGCACCGGCUAACUCCGCGCCAGCAGCCGCGGU